RNA transcript from Orcinus orca (killer whale), 4133 nucleotides. It is a transcript of the gene named tRNA methyltransferase 2 homolog B, with no coding region annotated. Lineage: Eukaryota; Metazoa; Chordata; Mammalia; Artiodactyla; Delphinidae. The record is from RefSeq and is a predicted model, not a curated record. The transcript is spliced from 9 exons.
CGGAGGGGUCGCUGGGAAGUGAAGGCGCCGGGCCUUAGCGCAACGAGUUCUUUGGCGGAAGAUUUCUAGAGAAGCACCGGGACAAAGUCGGGGGAAGGGCUCACGAGACAAGCUUCCAGGUGUCGGGCCAGCCAGCGCCCGGGGGAGCCCAGCGUCCCGUCGCGUCUGUUCCGGGAGUAGAGGCGCUGGGCGCACCAGGAAGUGACUCUCCCCAGCGGCUGCGAUGUGGACCCUUAGCUGAUUUUGUCGUUAACCGCCUCCGGUUUGUAAGAAGAUUUAUAGGUUACGAAGAAAACCUCCAGGUUGGUCACAACUCUUUCUGGGCUCAGCAUGUAAGGGAAACUUCACCCACAUGAUAGCCAAGAAGUGUCAAAGAAGACAGAAAAGUCAGAAGAAACCAAGACAUCUUGGACCACUAGAUGAUUCCUGGCAGGAAAGGCUGGCUGAUGUUGUGAUGCCACUCUGGAGGCUGAGCCAUGAAGAACAGCUCAAGUACUACGAAGUAUUCCUUCAACAGUCCCCAUUGGAGCCCUGCCUUCUGUUUCGUGAAGGUGGGUACUGGCGUGAGCUCAUAGCCCACACCAAUAGCCAAGGGCACACAAUGGCCAUCAUCUCUUUCCAUCCCCAGGAAUUAAGGCAGGAGGAGCUCUGUGUUCAGAAGGAGACUGUAAAGAAGUUUUUCACCAAAGGGCCAGGAGCAGUCUGUGACUUGACAUCACUUUACUUCCAGGAAAGCACUACGACCCGUUGCAGCCAUCAGCAGUCCCCCUACCAGCUCCUGUUUGGGGAACCCCACAUCUUUGAAGAUCUCCUGGGGUUGAAGAUCUGCAUCUCUCCAGAUGCCUUUUUCCAGGUUAACAUUGCUGGUGCAGAGAUACUGUAUCGGACUGUGGGGGAGCUGAGUGGAGUGAACUCUAACACCAUCCUCCUUGACAUCUGCUGUGUAACUGGCAUCACCAACUGUGAAUUCCAUACUGGUCGAGCAGAGAAGAUUUUGCCACAGCUACUGAAGUCAAAGGAAGAUGGGCAGUUAAUUGUUGCUGUAGUGAACCCAGCCCGGGCCGGGACUGCGUAAGGAUGACUAGAUUUCCUGCUACAGAGCUAAUUACCAGGUGGUUCAAGCCAUUCGAAACUACGGGGCCAUCCGCAUACUAGUUUUUGUUUCCUGCAAGCCCCAUGGUGAAAUCACAAGGAACAUCAUUGAGCCUCACCGGAAUAGAAGCUUCUCCUAGUCUCUCCAGUUUCUGUUGACAGUCAGCUGCCUGAAGCAACUCUCAAGAUGUACCUUCAAGCUUGAAGGCAGAGAGGGAAGGAAACAGCUGAAGACCCAUCAUAGCUACCUACACACUUCUGAGACAGGCUGAGCCAAGAAAUUGCCUUAGACUCUUCUUUCUGCUUUCAGAAACAAAGUCUCUUCCAACUUUGUUCACUUACGUUCUGCUAGAUGGUUGAAAAAGAUGGGUUUGUGACAUGACUCGUUAAGGUUCUUUUUUAUGUUUUGAACAGAUGAAUAUCUAUUUUCCCUACUACCAUCUCCCUCAUUGUCCAUUUCCCUUCACUGGAGUCAGUCACUGUUACCAGUUUCUUGUGUAUCCUUCUUGAGAUAUUCUAUGCAUAUUUGUAUAUGUACACCCCUAAUUUUUAUACAAUUGUAGCAUACCAUAAAUGCUAUUCUGCACCCUACUUUUUGCACUUUUUACAUAGAAGGCUGUUUCAUAUCAGUACAUAAAGAGCUUCUUUAUGGCUACAUGGCUGCACAGCGUUCCAUAAUUAUUAGAGAUAUACCAGAAUUUAUUUAAGCAGUUCUUUGUUGAUGGAUGUUUAGGUAGUGUCCAACCUUUGGCUGUUAUAAACAUGCUUAUACAUAUUAUAUUUCACAUGUGAGAGUAUAUCUCUAGGAGAAAUUGAUUAGGACACUUUGGUCAUUGGCUUGUUCAGUUGCUUGGUGGCGAUAAAACCACAGUACUACGUGUGGAAUCAAAGAUUCUAGGAGGCCUAGCCAUGCCUAACUACACCGAUGUCAUGGGAUGUUAAGCUAGACAGAAUCUUGGAGAUCCCAGAGAGGACCAAGAUCACACAAAGAUUUAGAAGCAGAUCCAGGAUUAAAACCCACAGUGUUUUACUCCAGUCUAUAAUGUAGCUCUUUUUACUACACCAGACUGCUGUGGGUCAGAGAGAUUUGGCAUGGCCUGAUUUCUGUCCUGCCAGGCAGGACUGUGCAUUAUCUGGCCCACGGUGAUCUCACUACCCUGUCUUUACAUGAUUUCUCUUCCCGGGAUCUGACUUUGCCAACCUAAUUUAUCCUACUUUUCCCUGCUGCUCUGACUUCUCCCACUAAUAAUAACUCCAUCUUUUUUAAAAGUUAGAACUGAAGUCCUUGACAGUUGGGGGACCCUUUAGUAGUAAAGCCAAGUAGGAGAGGCAGGAGUACUGGGAAGGAUGUCUGGUAAUGGCGUAAGAUUUAUGAUCUUACACAAGCUUUCUACUCUUAGUUCAUCCGUUGAGUCAUCGUAUAGUGUAGGAGGAGUCCCUUUCUCCUCUUGGCACGGCUGGAAUAUCUCCUUUCCUUGGCCAUAAGGUCAAACACCUUAAGGUCCAACAAGCAUAUAAUGUGCCCAAUAGGAAAGGAUAUGAAAGUGUGUGCGGAUAGUUUAAUUCUUACUGAAUUGUGCUAGGGAGCAAACUACAGGUGAUAUUCUUCAUGGGCAGCCCAAGGAAAUCAAGGACCCAUGUGUGGACUGACUCUUAAGUCUAUCUUCACUUUGGCUCAGGCCACAGAGGGGUCAACUGCUGCCAGUAUUUUAUGAAAUGCUCACUAUGAUGAUGGAUAAAAUUGUUUUAGGAGCAGAUUGUAGAGCUAUCCCUGGGACAGCUUUUCUCAAGUUAUGAUCCUCUGAGCACUUGCAUUACUCGAAGGAUGGGGCCCUGGAAUCUGCAAGUAGUCUUCUUUCCCAAAUAAUUCUUAUGUGAAUGUAACUAUGAGAACUACUUCCUAAGGAAUGGUAAAUUGAGAAGGUGGUUGUGAGCCUUUGAAUUUGGGGUGGCCUGUAAAAUUAGUGAGAAGAGCUGACCAGCAAUUCCAGGUAGCAUAUGGAUAUUUCAUUUGAGAGGAUAUAAAGACUGGGUUAGGUGCCUCCUAUGUGCUUCCACAGAUUCUGUGCUUCUAUCAUAACCCUUGUCACACUGUAUUGUAGUUGAAUGUUUUUGUCCCUUCCCCUAUAAUCCAGAGCGUUCUUAGUUGUGAGCAACAGAAAUUGAUUGGCUAAUUUAAGCAGAAAAUGCUUGUCUUAAAAGCAUAUUGAAUAGCUCCCAGAAUCCCAAGUUGGACUGGAGAACCAGACUCAGGGCUACACAGCCAACAUCACAGCUGUCACCAUUACUACCGCCAUGCUAGCACCAUUAGUGGGUUGGCUUAGGUCCUCAGAGAUGCAGAAACCAAGCUGGGAUUAGAUAUGCAGGAGAUUUAUUGGGGAAAAUGUCAGUGAGAGAACAUAGGGAGGAAGCUGGGAGAGAUGUUAAACUGCAGUGUCAAUCUGACCUUUAUGGAUGAGAGAAGGAAAGAAGAAGGUUAGGUAGGAAGUGUCGUAGACUGAAGUGCAGUGCUAAUAAAGUUUGACCAGGCUGAUGGGGAGUUCUGUUGCCACAGUCACAGGCCACAUAGUCCUGUGUCUCCCAGAAAUGGGGCUGACUUAGUAUCCCUGCUGUGCUCAGUCACUGGCUGGGAGCAGUGUGGCUUCAGAACAAAGCAGCAAAUAUUGGGGUGAAUUUAAAGCACAGCAGCUGGGGCAAAGGUCAGUGACACUUCCCACAUUGGAAGAACCAAGAGGCACAUUUUCAUGACUGUCUGAAUUGGAGAAGAUUGUCCACUUCUUUGGGUCACUGGCUCCCAAUUCAAGGGAUGGAUCCUUGGAUUGAGGGAGCCUAAGUCACAUGCCUGUGCCCCAACUACAAGGGGGCCCUGCUUCUUAGCAAGAGUCCUGUGUCCUCUCCCCCAGAUAAAGGGUUCAAAUGCUGUACAGCGACACCCCUAAAAGGACAAAUGUCUAUUAUACCAUUACACUCUGUGAACCCCUUGAGAGCAGAGAUCUUUGUCUUACUGCUAUUACAAAUAAAUGUUUAUUGAAAUAACUGAA